GACGAACGCUGGCGGCGUGCUUAACACAUGCAAGUCGAACGGAAAGGCCCGGCUUUUGUGGGGUGCUCGAUUGGCGAACGGGUGAGUAACACGUGAGUAACCUGCCCUUGUCUGUGUGAUAACUUCAGGAAACUGGGGCUAAUACCGGAUAUGAUCUCCUGCUGCGUGGGGGUGGAUGGAAAGUUUCGGCGGUUGGGGAUGGACUCGCUGCUUAUCAGCUUGUUGGUGUGGUAGUGGCUUACCACGGCUUUGACGGGUAGCCGGCCUGGGAGGGUGACCGGCCACCUUGGGACUGAGAUACGGACCAGACUCCUACGGGAGGCAGUAGUGGGGAACAUUGCACAAUGGGGGGAAGCGUGAUGCAGAGACGCCGCGUGCGGGAUGACGGCCUUCGGGUUGUAAACAGCUUUCGACUGUGACGAAGAGUGAGUGACGGUAAUGGGUAAAGAAGCACCGGCUAACUACGUG
This 468-nucleotide ribosomal RNA is filed under the name uncultured bacterium. RNAcentral's name for it is "partial 16S ribosomal RNA". It matches the Rfam family "Bacterial small subunit ribosomal RNA", at positions 28 to 507 of the family's 1533-position model. The record is from RNAcentral.